This 267-nucleotide ribosomal RNA is filed under the name unidentified cytophagales groupG. Its description in RNAcentral is "partial 16S small subunit ribosomal RNA". It matches the Rfam family "Bacterial small subunit ribosomal RNA", at positions 1106 to 1373 of the family's 1533-position model. The record is from RNAcentral. Lineage: Bacteria; Pseudomonadati; Bacteroidota.
UAUCGUUAGUUGCCAGCAUGUCAUGAUGGGGACUCUAACGAGACUGCGGUGCAAACCGCGAGGAAGGUGGGGAUGACGUCAAAUCAUCACGGCCCUUACGUCCUGGGCCACACACGUGCUACAAUGGCCGGUGCAGAGAGCAGCCACGUCGCAAGGCGGAGCGAAUCUAUAAAACCGGUCACAGUUCGGAUCGGAGUCUGCAACUCGACUCCGUGAAGCUGGAAUCGCUAGUGAUCGGAUAUCAGCCAUGAUCCGGUGAAUACGUUC